This 434-nucleotide ribosomal RNA is filed under the name Lactobacillus sp. DumLac42. RNAcentral's name for it is "bacterial SSU rRNA". It matches the Rfam family "Bacterial small subunit ribosomal RNA", at positions 48 to 449 of the family's 1533-position model. The record is from RNAcentral. Lineage: Bacteria; Bacillati; Bacillota; Bacilli; Lactobacillales; Lactobacillaceae.
CUAAUACAUGCAAGUCGAGCGAGCUUGCCUAGAUGAUUUUGGUGCUUGCACUAAAUGAAACUAGAUACAAGCGAGCGGCGGACGGGUGAGUAACACGUGGGUAACCUGCCCAAGAGACUGGGAUAACACCUGGAAACAGAUGCUAAUACCGGAUAACAACACUAGACGCAUGUCUAGAGUUUGAAAGAUGGUUCUGCUAUCACUCUUGGAUGGACCUGCGGUGCAUUAGCUAGUUGGUAAGGUAACGGCUUACCAAGGCAAUGAUGCAUAGCCGAGUUGAGAGACUGAUCGGCCACAUUGGGACUGAGACACGGCCCAAACUCCUACGGGAGGCAGCAGUAGGGAAUCUUCCACAAUGGACGAAAGUCUGAUGGAGCAACGCCGCGUGAGUGAANAAGGGUUUCGGCUCGUAAAGCUCUGUUGGNAGUGAAGAA